Molecule: ribosomal RNA, 403 nt
Filed under: uncultured bacterium
Lineage: Bacteria
Description: partial 16S ribosomal RNA
Rfam family: Bacterial small subunit ribosomal RNA
Source: RNAcentral
GACGAACGCUGGCGGCGUGCCUAAUACAUGCAAGUCGAACGCAGUGGGGACGGGUGAGUAACACGUGGGUAACCUCCCAUCAGAGGGGAUAACACUUGGAAACAGGUGCUAAACCGAUACUGAUGGAUGGAACCGCGGUUCAUUAGCUAGGUGGUGAGGUAACGGCUCACCAAGGCCACGAUGCAUAGACGAGCUGAAAGGUGGACCGGCCACACUGGGACAGGUACACGGCCCAGACUCCUACGGGAGGCAGCAUUAGGGAAUCUUCGGAAAUGGACGAAAGUCUGACCGAGCAACGCCGCGUGAGUGAAGAAGGUUUUCGGAUCGUAAAACUCUGUUGUUAGAGAAGCGGUAUCUAACCAGAAAGCCACGGCUAACUACGUGCCAGCAGCCGCGGUAAUUC